GAACUUCAGUGGGGAAUCGGUUUGUGCUAUCUCUUCUUUUACAGUUUCAUUUGACCUUGUCAUUACGAUUUCCAUAAGUUUUUACUUCUUGACAUGUAUGUCUAUUUAAUAUUAGUGUUACUGAUGAUGGAACACUGUUAUCCUUUGGAAAUUAACCGAUCAGGAUAUCAAGCAAAUGAUAUCUUCCUUUAUUACAAAUGAAACUGUUAUAGAAGAGGUAGCAAUUACUAUGAUUUAUAGCAUUAAACCUUUUGGAUUUUAGUAUCCAUAAAGGGCUAACACCACCAAUUUCUUUGAUGGCCUUUAUAUGAUAUAUACAUCAGCAACUAUGUAAUGCACAAUCAAGCUUUUCAGUUGCCAUGUGCAAUCCAGAAGACUGUUAAACUCCAGCAGUGGUUCUUAUUUGCUUAUAAUUGUGCAUUGUCUUGAUUAAUUUGCAGUCUUUCUUACAAAAAGCAACCUCAAUUGUGAUUUUGGUUUGUUUUGUAUAUCUGUUUUCCCGGGUGAAAGUAAAUGUGCUUGAAGUUGAACAACUCAAAAUAACAUGGGAAAAUAAGACGGAAAAUUUUUGCUAGAUAUGACUCUAAAUAAAAAUCAGAAAUGCCAGGGAUUGUUUUGCUAGAUAUGACCCUAAAUAGAGCUGAACAUGAAAGACAUCAACAACUCACUGGUUGAUUAGGUUGAGCAAUUUUUGGAUAACUGAG
RNAcentral lists this unclassified non-coding RNA (704 nucleotides) under Hevea brasiliensis (rubber tree). The record is from RNAcentral. Lineage: Eukaryota; Viridiplantae; Streptophyta; Magnoliopsida; Malpighiales; Euphorbiaceae.